CUCUUAUCAAGAGAGGCGGAGGGAAUAGGCCCUAUGAUGCCCGGCAACCACCAAGCAAUUGCUUGGAAAGGUGCUAAAUCCUACAGAUCGGCAACGGUCUGGCAGAUGAGAG
Regulatory RNA element from Planomicrobium sp., 112 nucleotides. It matches the Rfam family "SAM riboswitch aptamer (S box leader)". From Rfam's summary of the family: The SAM riboswitch is found upstream of a number of genes which code for proteins involved in methionine or cysteine biosynthesis in Gram-positive bacteria. The SAM riboswitch acts at the level of transcription termination control. Lineage: Bacteria; Bacillati; Bacillota; Bacilli; Caryophanales; Caryophanaceae. The record is from Rfam.